AUUCCUGGGACCUGUGGUCAUAUUCUCUUACACGCAGAAGGGACGGACGGACCCUGCAUUGUGAUUAAGGUUUGGAAGCAAGAAGAAGGGAGCCACGAGCUGAAGAGUCUGAGUGGCCUUCCAGGAGCCUCCAGAGAGAAUGCGGCCCUGCUUGUCAUCUUGCUUUUAGCCUCUGGGACCCAAGCUGCACUUCUUCCCUUCAGAGUGAAGCGGUUCCUGAGACAAGGAUUUAAGAGCAGAAGUUUAUUUGGAAGGUGACCCCGGAUGCACUUGUGGGAGAGGAGACAGUGAAAACAGAGAGGAAAAGAAAAUCAAG
RNAcentral lists this long non-coding RNA (316 nucleotides) under Heterocephalus glaber (naked mole-rat). RNAcentral's name for it is "lncRNA (ENSHGLG00100033748.1)". Lineage: Eukaryota; Metazoa; Chordata; Mammalia; Rodentia; Bathyergidae. The record is from RNAcentral.